RNAcentral lists this transfer RNA (97 nucleotides) under Metallosphaera sedula. RNAcentral's name for it is "tRNA-Leu". It matches the Rfam family "tRNA". From Rfam's summary of the family: Transfer RNA (tRNA) molecules are approximately 80 nucleotides in length. The record is from RNAcentral. Lineage: Archaea; Thermoproteati; Thermoproteota; Thermoprotei; Sulfolobales; Sulfolobaceae. RNAcentral also lists the same sequence under 1 other name.
GCGGGGGUGCCCGAGCCUGGUCAAAGGGGGCGGACUUAAGAUCACAUAGGUGAUCCGCUGGAGCAGUCCUGCGCGGGUCCAAAUCCCGCCCCCCGCA